CAUAUAACAACAUAACCCCCCGAAACCUUUAUAAAUUCAUUGGUGAGCAGCAGUGAACGUGCCAGCAGCGUGGCAGCGUGCCCAUGUACGAUGUGGUGGCAUCGCUUUGUAAGGUAGCUGAGCUGCCUCAUCCCCUUGAAACCCCAGUAUUAAAGGUGUGGUGGAAAUGCAAAGUGUGUGUGUGUGUGUAUCUUUGUUUGGGAUGUAUCUGGUCUGCUUGAAAAUCUGUUGUGGGGUGACAGCUGCAGGAAUUAAAGAUGUGGCAGCAAAAAGAGGCCUUGGAGGUCCAGUGACACAGAUGUCAGGUAUGGCUCUUGAGCUGCGGAAAACUGCAGGGCAUUUUGUUCAGUCUGGGCCGCAGGAAUGGACGCAGUCUGCAUGGAGAUGCAGCAAGCCUCUGUCCCUGCCAGCAGCAGCGACAGGGACCCCCCUGUUCAGGCGGUGCAGGGCUCACACGUAGCGCUUGGAUGCUCUCACGCGGAUCCAACACCAGUGCCCAGCUUGGCUGGAGCAGGUGUAGUAAUUUGCAAUUAUAAUCAUGGCUUCUGCUUUUGCAAAUCGGUGUGCAAAUAGCAAGGGUAUUGUAUGCAAAGCUUUAUAACCCCUGCGUUUUCUUCUAAAACACAUUCUCCCUUUCAGGGGUGUAGGGGUGGUUCUCCCUUACUAAGGGAUUUAGUGUACUUACUGCAAUGGUAUCAGUGUCUGCUUAGAUUUUUGUCCUUCUAACAAGAUUGACCAAAGAAAAGGUAUAGGAGUGUCUUUAUUUUAGAUCUGGGCAUCAGCAGAAAAAAAGGUGAUGCAAUUUGACUCAUUUUAAUUGCCAUAGGUACAGAAGAACGACUCUCUUCACAGAUACACCUGAACAGCUCAGUACUGGCACUGAGUUCACUUGUGUGUGUUUUAAAGCCAGUAGUAGCUCUCCUUAUCUCAUAGUAGCAUCUCUGUUAUCUGUUCUCAUGAGCUUACGGUGGAUUUGUGUUAAGCCUUCCCAUUAACCUGUGACUUUGUGCAAUGCUCCCAGUUGCUGCUUCCAAUGCAAAAACAAGAACGAGACUUGGAUUAGUAAGUGUCAGGUCAGCUCCUAAAAAAUAUAGAUGAAAAACAUACUAAAAGUACUGAUAUACAUAGCGAGGUACAUCUGAACAAAAGCUAGCUCUGAUCAUGCUGAAAUUUUGGAGGAGGAUUUGACUUGCAUCCAAACAUUCCAGCAUGGACUGAUUGCUACUUGUUUGUGUAACAAGAAGGCAUUUCCUUUGCUAAAGGAUCCCGAGCUUGUUCCAAGCUCACUGUAGGCAAGGAAAACGCUGCCCAAUACCGAAAGGCUCCCACCACUUGGGGCGAGGUUUCAUAUGGUCCAAGCAUGGGCAGUGCUCAGUGUGACACGGGGUAACCUGAACACAGUGCCACUUGUCUGGGGGCGUUUGGGGAGGUCAAAUGUAAUUACUCAGUUGGAGUGUGGCCGGGAGAGUUAUGAUUAAUUCCCUCGCUCCCUCAGAAAAGCCUGUGGGAACUUCAGUGGCCUCAGCGAUAAGAUCCUCAUCGUUCAGCAUCCGUUAGCAUGGUUGAGCAGAGCAGACCUCCACCUGCUCAGCCCUGCUGCAGCAAGGGAUCUACUCGGAUCCGUGACCGACUGAGCAGUGAGCAGGGAUGGGGCUGUGUGGGGUGGGCACAAGUGCCAUCUGCAGAGCUGUCACCCGUGUCCUCCGGCACAGACGGGUUUUUGGAAGGUAACCAGGCAGGUGGGGCUGCUCUGACCUUGCUCAGGCUGUGGGCUAGCGAGAGGUUGCAGCAGUUGUAGGGACUGCCGGGAGCUGCUGCUUCUCCCCCUUUCGGUUGCUCCAAUUCAAUCACACAAAAUUAUGAAUUCUCCCUCUGCAAAAGUGGAGCAAAGUAUUCUGGCAAGGCUAACCUCGUACAAUAGCCACAAAAAUUGUUCUUGUAAAUACUUCACUAUAAGAUUAUUUUUCCUUUUGCUCUGCUUUUAAGAAACAAAACCGACAACUUUUUGAAAUAGGACUUGUUUUUUAAGACCUUAUGUGAUUGCAGAGGAUGUCGGCUUUAUUUUGUCCUUGCCUUACUGUGAGUUACCAAUAUUUUUUCUGCCUCUGAGCAGUACCUUCUUCUUGUCUGUAGUGCUUGCCUAUGUGUUACUGUGUUUGAAGGAUCUUGAGGGUGCUGCUGCAAGCUGAUCUGUUCCCUGCUGCCAAGCUGGGAUAAUGGCAGUCCUGUUUUCCCUGCAAUAUUUGCUGGUUGUCACAAAUGUCCAUGUCGAGCAUAGUCCCUCUGCUUGGUUUUACCUGUUAGAAAGUAGUCAGGUCUGCUGUGAAGGUGCCGCAAGCCAAAAGGGCACCGUGCAGUGUUACACACCUGAAACGUGGGAGGGAGGUGGUGGUAAAGUUCCCCUGGUUUGUAGCGAGGACACAUUGGGGAGAAUCCAGCAAAAACAAUGGUUUAGCUCAGUGACCCUGUUGGCUUCAGCAGGCUGACGCUUCUCAGCAAGGGGCUAUUUAAAUUUGUUGCAAUAUCGCCAGGCUUUUGAUGGAAAGAGGACGAGAGAUGGGCAGAGUUGUCUUCAAGAUCAAAAGUUCAAUAUUGGCAGGGCAGAACGAGUUUUAUUUUUAUUUUUCUCCCUUUUUCUGAAGUUAAAUAAACCUUGAUGUGCAGAAUAACCCCUGAAUAAUAAUAGUAAUAAUAAACUGAAGGACAUCCAAGGAACUGCUGGCGUUUUUAUUUUUUCAUUAAUCGCAGUGUCAUUUCUAACGUGCACCUGAUUUAUGUGUGUCUGGUUAACCAUUCAAAUGCCCUUUCUCUGACCUGAUAUACACCACAUGAAAGUUUUAUGGCAGUAAUUUAUAGAGGAUGAUUACAGCUCCGAAUGUAAAGGUUUGGAAUACCGUUCUUCUUGGGGCUGGCGGGGCUUGGUCCUGGUUGGGUGUUCUCCAGGUAUAUGGCAGAAUUGCAAAUUAAAAGGUUGAGGUUUGGGGACUUUGGGUAUCACAGAGCAGCAGAAGAAAGCUGUGUGUGGACCUGUGAGGAGGGUCAAGAAGAGGUGGGCCCUAAACCUCUCCAAGGCAGCCAACUCUGUUGGGUUACUCUUGAUCCUUUAUUCUGGAUUUGAUCUGGAGUUUGGAAGCUUGAGUGGAAUUCUGUAGAUUUUUGGAUGUUUUCCAUUAGGAGUGUUUGAGCAGAAAUGCACUGUACUUGGGAUCAGAUUAAGUGGCGUAGGUCUUUUGUCUUUUUCAAUCGCCUGUAGGCUCUAAAAGGCUCUGUCUGGAGAUUCAUCAGCAAAGCUGCAACAUCCCCUGAAUGUCCCUGUGCAAAAGCCCAACUGCACAAACACAGAUGUGGAGGGGCCGUCGUUAACAGCAUUGAAAUGGAAAUGGCAUUUCAGAAGGAGGAAGAACGCUUUAAUAUUCCUGCCCGUUUGUAUCUGAAAUUGAUGCAAAAGUAAGUGACCACAUGAAAGGAGCUGUCGAAGGAUUUCUUGUUAAAGUUCCUUUGUCCAAGAAUUUUGUCUCCUUGAAAUGGAAAUGAUUCACGGGAAUGCGCUGGUUCGAACAGAUUCCUGGAUCAGAAAAAUUGAAUCAAUAUUUUUGAAACUGUUGAAACUGUGUGUCUUGUCCUUAAAUUAAAAAAAAAAAAAAAAAAGAAAGAAAAAA
Molecule: non-coding RNA, 3659 nt
Organism: Anas platyrhynchos (mallard)
Lineage: Eukaryota; Metazoa; Chordata; Aves; Anseriformes; Anatidae
Source: RefSeq, a predicted model, not a curated record